Molecule: non-coding RNA, 1196 nt
Organism: Oryza sativa Japonica Group (Japanese rice)
Lineage: Eukaryota; Viridiplantae; Streptophyta; Magnoliopsida; Poales; Poaceae
Source: RefSeq, a predicted model, not a curated record
CAAAUAUGAAAACCAAUAAUCUCCAUUGUCAAUUGUUCAUCACAGAAUAAUAAUAAAGAAAACACCUUUGAUUUUACAAUUGGGAUGGCCGAUGGAUGUGGAAAAGGAGCACGGCGCCUUAUUUGUAUGUUGUUUGAAUGAACAAGGCCUAUGACAUUGCCUCCAUCGCCGUCCUCCCUCCCCAGUAAUCGUGCAGUUCUCGCAGGUCGCCCUUAUCUAAUCUGGUAGCAGUUGCAAAAAAAAUGUUAUGCCGCAGAAUGUCACUGCAUAAACUUAUAGAUAGUGCAAGGUCCAAUUAAUAGGAGUAAGUUCCUGCAAUUUCAGAUUUGUUUUCAUUACUAGUAGUACAAAUUUCUCACUCUACUUCCCACCACCUUACUGCACGCUUGCACUGAUAAAUCAGGUAAUUGAACUGCAUUUUUGUCUGUCAUGUAAAACUGUUUGCAAUUGACACCCACCCUUAUAUAUGCAGUUACACGAUUUCAUUACAUGAUGCCUAUUCCUCAGAAAUUACUUGCACAUUAUUCAGGGAACCAUCGAUGGCGCACCACAAAUUGAAGAGUCCUGUGCACCUAAUUACAGCUUUACUAGUUAGAGAUGACAUGUGUAGUGUUUUGGUAUCUUGCCCAAUAACAUUCAUUCAUGUUUUUAUUGUUGGACAGAGAUUUGGCUUGCAUGAUGACUCAUCCAAGAAGAUGUCCUCUUUGCCAGCUAGUUUAGCUUCUUGCGCGCGAGAAGAGUCUCAGCUGCAACUGGCAAAAGUACAAAGCAACCCAAUGCACUGCUGGAACCCCUCUAUUGCAAAUACUAGAUGAUAAGUUGGAUUCCUUGAAGGAAAAGAUAGAUGAAUCAAAAGCAACAAGAAAGCAACAGUUGGAAGAGAUUGGAAAUUUGAGGAGACCAAUACCCUUCUUCGUCAGUUGAUUGGCCUUAAUAAUUCUUCUUUUGGCCAGUCUUAGUAAUAUGCUGAUUCAUGAUGAGAUGGUUGUAGUGUUUUAGUUGGUGCGACUUUGACAUGUGACUUGUUCAGGUCAGUUAAUUUGAAUGAUUAUUUGGACAUAUGACUUUGUUUUGGACGGUGAUUGAGUUGUGACUCGAUUAGGAUAGUAAUGUGCCAAACCUGUUUAUUUUGCUAUUCAGGACCUGAUGUAACUGCACAUGUGAAAUAAUUUUUGGUCAGUGAAGCUGUCAUAUAA